RNAcentral lists this ribosomal RNA (253 nucleotides) under uncultured bacterium. Its description in RNAcentral is "partial 16S ribosomal RNA". It matches the Rfam family "Bacterial small subunit ribosomal RNA", at positions 524 to 776 of the family's 1533-position model. The record is from RNAcentral.
UACAGAGGUCUCAAGCGUUGUUCGGAUUCAUUGGGCGUAAAGGGUGUGUAGGUGGCGCCGUAAGUCGGGUGUGAAAUCUCGGGGCUUAACUCCGAAACUGCAUUCGAUACUGCGGUGCUUGAGGACUGGAGAGGAGACUGGAAUUCAUGGUGUAGCAGUGAAAUGCGUAGAUAUCAGGAGGAAUACCGAUGGCGAAGGCAGGUCUCUGGGCUGACACUGACGCUCAUGCACGAAAGCGUGGGGAGCAAACAGG